GUCCACGCGGUAACGAUGGGCACUAGGUGUGGGUAUCCACUCCUCCCGUGCCGAAGCUAACGCAUUAAGUGCCCGCCUGGGAGUACGGCCGCAAGGUUAAACUCAAAGGAAUUGACGGGCCCGCACAAGCGGUGGAGCAUGUGGUUUAAUUCGACGCAACGCGAAGAACCUUACCUGGGCUUGACAUCCCGGGAACCUCCUGGAAACAGGGGUGCCCCCGAAAGGGGAGCCCGGAGACAGGUGCUGCAUGGCUGUCGU
This 258-nucleotide ribosomal RNA is filed under the name uncultured bacterium. RNAcentral describes it as "partial 16S ribosomal RNA". It matches the Rfam family "Bacterial small subunit ribosomal RNA", at positions 793 to 1055 of the family's 1533-position model. The record is from RNAcentral.